This 465-nucleotide ribosomal RNA is filed under the name uncultured Klebsiella sp. RNAcentral describes it as "bacterial SSU rRNA". It matches the Rfam family "Bacterial small subunit ribosomal RNA", at positions 338 to 795 of the family's 1533-position model. Lineage: Bacteria; Pseudomonadati; Pseudomonadota; Gammaproteobacteria; Enterobacterales; Enterobacteriaceae. The record is from RNAcentral.
CCUACGGGAGGCAGCAGUGGGGAAUAUUGCACAAUGGGCGCAAGCCUGAUGCACCCAUGCCGCGUGUGUGAAGAAGGCCUUCGGGUUGUAAAGCACUUUCAGCGGGGAGGAAGGCGGUGAGGUUAAUAACCUCAUCGAUUGACGUUACCCGCAGAAGAAGCACCGGCUAACUCCGUGCCAGCAGCCGCGGUAAUACGGAGGGUGCAAGCGUUAAUCGGAAUUACUGGGCGUAAAGCGCACGCAGGCGGUCUGUCAAGUCGGAUGUGAAAUCCCCGGGCUCAACCUGGGAACUGCAUUCGAAACUGGCAGGCUAGAGUCUUGUAGAGGGGGGUAGAAUUCCAGGUGUAGCGGUGAAAUGCGUAGAGAUCUGGAGGAAUACCGGUGGCGAAGGCGGCCCCCUGGACAAAGACUGACGCUCAGGUGCGAAAGCGUGGGGAGCAAACAGGAUUAGAUACCCGAGUAGUC